RNAcentral lists this non-coding RNA (29 nucleotides) under Mus musculus (house mouse). The record is from RNAcentral. Lineage: Eukaryota; Metazoa; Chordata; Mammalia; Rodentia; Muridae.
UAGUAUCUUCAGAGGUUCCAGAGUCCAUC